AUGCUGUUCUUCUCCUACUUCAAGGAGCUCGUCGGGAAGGAGGUUACGGUGGAGCUCAAGAACGACCUGGCCAUCCGCGGCACGCUCCACUCGGUGGAUCAGUACCUCAACAUCAAGCUCGAGAACACUCGGGUCGUCGACCAGGACAAGUAUCCCCACAUGCUAUCGGUGCGGAACUGCUUCAUCAGGGGAUCUGUGGUGCGUUACGUACUGCUUCCGCAGGACGGGGUUGACAUCGACAUCCUCCAUGACGCUACCAGGAGGGAGGCACGGGGCGGCUGA
RNAcentral lists this ribosomal RNA (282 nucleotides) under Triticum aestivum (bread wheat). RNAcentral describes it as "partial small subunit ribosomal RNA". Lineage: Eukaryota; Viridiplantae; Streptophyta; Magnoliopsida; Poales; Poaceae. The record is from RNAcentral.